Long non-coding RNA from Lactuca sativa (garden lettuce), 205 nucleotides. RefSeq lists it as uncharacterized. The record is from RefSeq and is a predicted model, not a curated record. NCBI's taxonomy places the organism in Eukaryota, Viridiplantae, Streptophyta, Magnoliopsida, Asterales, Asteraceae.
UUUUUUUAGGUUUACACAAGCUUGCAUUGCUGAAUAUGGAACGUUGCCCUAUUACUGCAACAUGCCUGGAUUCACUUUCAGAUCUUGUUGCUCUACUUUUUCUGAAUCUAAGCAGAUCUAAUAUCACUGAUGAUGGGUGUGACAAGUUUUCAAAAUUGAAGUCUCUAAAAGUGCUGAACUUGGGAUUCAAUGAUAUGUCAGAUGC